Long non-coding RNA from Pogoniulus pusillus (Red-fronted tinkerbird), 381 nucleotides. RefSeq lists it as uncharacterized. The transcript is spliced from 3 exons. The record is from RefSeq and is a predicted model, not a curated record. NCBI's taxonomy places the organism in Eukaryota, Metazoa, Chordata, Aves, Piciformes, Lybiidae.
GGACACUCAAGUGGCCUGUGACCUGUCCUGCUGGAAAUUCAACAGUCUCUCUUCAAUGUGAGGAGGACGAUGAUGGCUCACCACUGGAAAGCACUAAGAGGAAACUUACACUGCAUUAAAGAGACCUAAAAUAUAGCUUGGCAUGGAUGAAGAUUAAAGGAAUGGAAACACCCAUUGCAUGUUCAGAGCUGGAACAAGACAUCUCAGCUUGCAAGCCAAGUUCCCCAUCUCCGGAUUCCACAUGGCAACACAUUGGAUUGUGCCACCCUCUGGUUUCUGCUCUUGGGCUUCUUCCAGCCAUUGCAUGAAUUUUCCCCUUUUGGACAGCAGCAUCGACAUCAAAGACUGCCAACUUGCAUCUCUAUCAGUACUUCUCUAAGA